RNAcentral lists this ribosomal RNA (252 nucleotides) under uncultured bacterium. RNAcentral's name for it is "partial 16S ribosomal RNA". It matches the Rfam family "Bacterial small subunit ribosomal RNA", at positions 524 to 776 of the family's 1533-position model. RNAcentral also lists the same sequence under 1 other name. The record is from RNAcentral.
UACGUAGGGGGCAAGCGUUAUCCGGAAUCAUUGGGCGUAAAGGGUGCGUAGGCUGCCCUAUAGGUCAGAGGUCAAAGGCUACGGCUCAACCGUAGUAAGCCUUUGAAACUGUAGGGCUUGAGUGCAGGAGAGGAGAGUGGAAUUCCUAGUGUAGCGGUGAAAUGCGUAGAUAUUAGGAGGAACACCAGUGGCGAAGGCGACUCUCUGGACUGCAACUGACGCUGAGGCACGAAAGCGUGGGUAGCGAACAGG